GACUGCGGAGGAUCAUUACAAAUGUCUGGGAUGUUCAAUCGGGCUCCCAAGCAAACACAUUCAUGUGUACUCUUCCAAGUUGCUUCCCCAGACCAGUGGCCACUGCUGCCAGUCCAGUACCUAAAUGUGCUUCUGGGUUGAGGUGUCUGGGGAAGGGCCCAAUAUUAUACUUUUGAACCAAUCAGUUGUCUGAGAAGGCUAUGUGCCGCAACCUUGAAAAUAUGUUAAAACUUUCAACAACGGAUCUCUUGGCUCUCGCAUCGAUGAAGAACGCAGCGAAAUGCGAUAAGUAAUGUGAAUUGCAGAAUUCAGUGAAUCAUCGAAUCUUUGAACGCACAUUGCGCCCUUUGGUAUUCCUUAGGGCAUGCCUGUUCGAGCGUCACUAAAACCCGCCUCACAGAUAAUGUGGUAUUGGUAGAAGUGAAUAGUACUAACAGUACUUUGUUUUACUCUACUCAAAUGAAUAGGCCAGAAAAGUGGACCAUGGUUACAGACUCUCAGAGUGUUUGAAAACGCUAAACUAGUCUUACCCAGGUUGAGUUCUAAGCCACUGGACCCCCAUUUAGUCCAAACCAGAGAGGUUGACCUCGGAUCAGGUAGGGAUACCCGCUGAACUUAAGCAUAUCAUA
RNAcentral lists this small RNA (629 nucleotides) under uncultured fungus. RNAcentral's name for it is "eukaryotic LSU rRNA". The stretch from base 229 to 382 matches the Rfam family "5.8S ribosomal RNA". Lineage: Eukaryota; Fungi. The record is from RNAcentral.